This 468-nucleotide ribosomal RNA is filed under the name uncultured bacterium. Its description in RNAcentral is "partial 16S ribosomal RNA". It matches the Rfam family "Bacterial small subunit ribosomal RNA", at positions 28 to 507 of the family's 1533-position model. The record is from RNAcentral.
GAUGAACGCUGGCGGCGUGCUUAACACAUGCAAGUCGAACGGAAAGGCCCUGCUUUUGUGGGGUGCUCGAGUGGCGAACGGGUGAGUAACACGUGAGUAACCUGCCCUUGACUUUGGGAUAACUUCAGGAAACUGGGGCUAAUACCGGAUAGGAGCUCCUGCUGCAUGGUGGGGGUUGGAAAGUUUCGGCGGUUGGGGAUGGACUCGCGGCUUAUCAGCUUGUUGGUGGGGUAGUGGCUUACCAAGGCUUUGACGGGUAGCCGGCCUGAGAGGGUGACCGGCCACAUUGGGACUGAGAUACGGCCCAGACUCCUACGGGAGGCAGCAGUGGGGAAUAUUGCACAAUGGGCGGAAGCCUGAUGCAGCAACGCCGCGUGCGGGAUGACGGCCUUCGGGUUGUAAACCGCUUUCGCCUGUGGCGAAGCGUGAGUGACGGUAAUGGGUAAAGAAGCACCGGCUAACUACGUG